This 253-nucleotide ribosomal RNA is filed under the name uncultured bacterium. RNAcentral's name for it is "partial 16S ribosomal RNA". It matches the Rfam family "Bacterial small subunit ribosomal RNA", at positions 524 to 776 of the family's 1533-position model. The record is from RNAcentral.
UACAGAGGGGGCAAGCGUUGUUCGGAAUUACUGGGCGUAAAGGGCGCGUAGGCGGCCUGCUAAGUCGAACGUGAAAUCCCUGGGCUCAACCCAGGAACUGCGUCCGAUACUGGUUGGCUUGAAUCCGGGAGAGGGAUGUGGAAUUCCAGGUGUAGCGGUGAAAUGCGUAGAUAUCUGGAGGAACACCGGUGGCGAAGGCGGCAUCCUGGACCAAUUCUGACGCUGAGGAGCGAAAGCCAGGGGAGCAAACGGG